Molecule: long non-coding RNA, 1002 nt
Filed under: Homo sapiens (human)
Lineage: Eukaryota; Metazoa; Chordata; Mammalia; Primates; Hominidae
Description: HSALNT0339749
Source: RNAcentral
AACAAGCAGAGCAUUGUUUCAGCGAUGAAAAGAAAAACAUCCUCUGAUUUUCCAAGUUUGUUCUGAACCAAAUUUUUGGUUGAAAUAGAAAGAUGUAUUUUUUUUCCUUUUCUUGCCACCCUUCUUUAUUUUUUAACCCAUUUUUUAAUGAAGCUAUCUAAGUGGAUGUUGAAACAGUGAAUGUUAAGAAAGAGUACAUUUCCUAUGUAAACAAACACAACCCGGCUUAGAGAGAGAGGAAAGCAGUCUUGUCAACCCGAAAGGAACCCAGCACAUGGUAAUUUUUGUAAUUGAAGUAUCCCAGGGAUUCCAGGGUACAUGAACAAUCCAUAAAACAGGAAUGAGACCACACAAAAACACAACCAUGGCUCCAGGCGGGCACUGUUGAAAAGAAGCAGACUUUUAGCAGUAGGAAGCAGGGAGCUUGCAUCAGAGGAUCUUUGUAAAUGCCCCUCUAAAAUUAAAGUCCUCUCUAAGCUCCUUCCAGGUCUUUUACAUGCAUCGUUGGAUUGCAGUCUCAAGCCUGGGAUUCCAACGGAAUUAACGUCCAUUGAAAACUUACUGUGCUCAAGGCACAGAACGGGGUAGUUUUAUACACAUUCUCCCAUUUGGAUUUUUCAAAGACAACAUCUAAUCAUCCCCAGAGAAAUUUCAGCUGAGAAGACAGGAUGGUGAGACAGUUCCUAAGUCUUUCCUAGACACAAUUGUCUUUGCAAGUCCUCUGCCACAGUCAAAGAUGAAGUGCCCUGGGGGCCAGAGUCCAGACAAGUAUUUUGGCACCUCCAAGGACUCGCAGAACACAGAGAGGAAAAGAGAGACCCUGUUAUCUUUCCGCAGGGGUGGCCGUUCAAACUCUCAGAGAUGGAAGUUAAGAUUUCCUUUGGUAUAAGUGGCAGUUUGACUGGCUGCAAGGAGAGCCUCAGUUUGUUUAAUUUGGAGUAAAAUUUUAUGAGUUAAUCUCUAGUGAGGGAAAGCAGCAGUAAACACAGAACAUACUGGUCA